RNAcentral lists this ribosomal RNA (784 nucleotides) under uncultured bacterium. RNAcentral's name for it is "bacterial SSU rRNA". It matches the Rfam family "Bacterial small subunit ribosomal RNA", at positions 35 to 769 of the family's 1533-position model. The record is from RNAcentral.
GCUGGCGGCGUAGAUUAGGCAUGCAAGUCGAGCGAUACUUUUUUCUUGAUGUGGUGAAGCCGCAAGGCUGAUCUGUUGAUGGGAAGAAGAUAUAGCGGCAGACUGGUGAGUAACACGUGAGUAAUUUACCUCUAAGUCGGGGAUAGCCUUGCGAAAGUGAGGGUAAUACCCGAUGUGUUUACGAUUGCAUAAGCAAUUGUAAGUAAAGGAGGCUCGCAAGAGUUUCCGUUUAGAGAUGAGCUCGCGUCCUAUCAGCUAGUUGGUAGGGUAACGGCCUACCAAGGCUUUUGACGGGUAGCUGGCCUGAGAGGGUGGUCAGCCACAUGGGGACUGAGACACUGCCCCAACUCCUACGGGAGGCUGCAGUCGAGGAUAUUUAGCAAUGGACGAAAGUCUGACUAUGUGACGCCGCGUGAGGGAUGAAGGUCUUCGGAUUGUAAACCUCUUUCGAUAGGGAAGAAAACCUGUUCUUAACGGAACAGACUGACGGUACCUAGAUAAGAAGCCACGGCCAACUCUGUGCCAGCAGCCGCGGUAAUACAGAGGUGGCGAGCGUUACUCGGAUUUAUUGUGUGUAAAGGGCAGGUAGGUGUCUUGACAAGUUAGAAGUGAAAUCCUGCAGCUCAACUGCAGAACUGCCUUUAAAACUGUUAAGAUUGAGGCUGGGAGAGGAGAGCGGAAUUCUCGGUGUAAGAGUGAAAUCUGUAGAUAUCGAGAGGAACACCAGUGGCGAAGGCGGCUCUCUGGUCCAGAUCUGACGCUGAACUGCGAAAGCGUGGGGAGC